CACCAAACACCUCAGCCUCGACGCACACCCACGCCUUACCAGACACCUCAG
RNAcentral lists this non-coding RNA (51 nucleotides) under Vibrio phage 1.034.O._10N.261.46.B7. Lineage: Duplodnaviria; Heunggongvirae; Uroviricota; Caudoviricetes; Zobellviridae. The record is from RNAcentral.